RNAcentral lists this long non-coding RNA (2172 nucleotides) under Canis lupus familiaris (dog). Its description in RNAcentral is "lncRNA (ENSCAFG00845014174.1)". The record is from RNAcentral. Lineage: Eukaryota; Metazoa; Chordata; Mammalia; Carnivora; Canidae.
UUUCCUGACAAAUUGCAUUUAUUUAAACACUUAAAGAUCCAGAGAAGGAAAUAAUACCACAACAUAUUCUUCUUUAGAUUUUCUGACUUUAGAGAAUUUUAGUCUCCUACUUUAUCCUUCCAUUCCUUUUUCUCAGGGUAAAUUUUUAUUCAUAAGAUUGCAAAAACAUCACCGGUAUCAAAUUCCAGAACUUUUUCAUCAGUCCUAAAAAAAACCCCCUGUACCCAUAAGUAGUCACUCCCAACUCUCCCCACCCCCCAGCCUUGGAAAAUCACUAAUCUGCUUUCUGUCUUAUGGACUUGGUGAUUCCAGACAUUUCUUAUAAAUGGAAUCACACAACAUGUGGCCUUUUGUGUCUGGCUUCUUAGCGGGUUUUCAAGGUUCAUCCAUGUCAUAGAAUGAAUUCUUUAUUCCUGUUUGUGUCUGAAAAAUAUGCCAUUGUAUGGACAUACAUUUGGUUUAUUCAUUCACUGGUGGAUGUGGGAUGUUCCCACCUUCUGAUGAUUAUCUAUAAUGCUGCUAUGAACAUAAUGUAAAUUUUUGUGUGGGUACAUGUUUUCAAUUCUCUUGGAUAUACAUACUAAGGAGCAGAAUCGUCAGGUCAUGUGGUAACUCUAUGUUUAACUUUUUGAGGAACUGCCCAGUUUUCCAAAGCAGCUGCACCAUUCUGUGUUCACACCAGUAGUUCACCAAUGCUCAUUAUCUUUUAAUUUUAGCCAUUUUAGUGGGUAUGAAAUGUAUGUCAUUGUGGUUGUAGUUUACCCUUCCUUGGUGACUAAUGAUGGGGAGCAUCUUUUCAUGCACUUCUAGGCUAUUGGUAUAUCUUUUUUGGAGAAAUGUCUAUUCAGCUCUUUGUUGGGUUGAAUAAUGUCCCCCCAAAAUUCAUGUCCACUUAGAACCUGUGUAUGCGGCCUAUGUGAAAUAGGCUCUUUGCAGAUGUAAUUAAGUUAAUGAGAAGUCAUACUAGAUUAGGAUGGACCCUGAAUCCAAUCCGACUGUGUCUUUGUAAGAAAAGGGAAAUUUAGGGACGCUUGGGUGGCUCAGUGGUUGAGCAUCUGCCUUUGGCUCAAGGCAUAAUCCCAGGACUCUGGGAUCGAGUCCCACAUCAGGCUCCCUGCAUGAAGCCUGCUUCUCCCUCUGCCUAUGUCUCUGUCUCUCUCGCUCUCUGUCUGUCUCUCAUGAAUAAAUAAAUAAAGUCUUAAAAAAAAAAAAAGAAAAGGGAAAUUUAGACACACACACAGAAUGCUACACAGAGAGAUUGUAGUGAUGUUGUACAAGCCAAGGAAUGCCAGCAACCACUAGAAGCUUGGAGAGGGGUAUGACACAGAUUCUGUUCUGAUUCCCCAGUAGGAACCAACGCUGCUGACACCUUGAUUUCAGACUUCUGGCCUCUAGAAGUGUGAAAGAAUACAUUUCUAUUGUUUUAAGCCACCUAGUUUGUGGUAAUUUGUUAUAUCCACCCUAGGAAACGAUCACCAGUUCCUUUACUCAUUUUUAAAUUGGAUUAUUUGCCUUUUUAUUCACAACUCCAACUAGUUUCAGAGCCUAACAUAUGUGACUUAAUUCCUUCCUUACAAUGAUGUUUUUAUUUAUUUUUAUUUAUUUUUAUUUUUUUAAUUUUUAUUUAUUUAUGAUAGUCACAGAGAGAGAGAGAGAGAGAGAGAGAGAGAGAGAGAGAGAGGCAGAGACACAGGCAGAGGGAGAAGCAGGCUCCAUGCACCGGGAGCCCGACGUGGGAUUCGAUCCCGGGUCUCCAGGAUCGCGCCCUGGGCCAAAGACAGGCGCUAAACCCCUGCGCCACCCAGGGAUCCCUACAAUGAUGUUUUUAAACAAGAUUCUGAUUUAUAUCAUUAACUUCAAAAGCAAAUUUUUGUAUUUUGGUUUUAAAAGGACUACAUAGGUGUAUUUUUAUGUUUAUCCCCUCCCCCCACUUGUUCUCCUAUUCUUGGAAUGACUACUUAUUUUUCCUUGGAAUGACUUUAAACACAUAUUCUUAUAUUUGUUAGGAAAAGUCACACAACUUUUAAGGAAAUACAAGGGAGAAGAGAGAGGAUGCAUGUGGCCGAGUGUCUUUGAUUAAAUGCUUUACUCUGUUCUUGGCGCUCAUUUGUCCAUUCAUGCAACAGGCAUCUAUUGUGUGUCUUCUGAAUAGAUGACAAAAGCAUCACUCUG